This 301-nucleotide ribosomal RNA is filed under the name uncultured bacterium. Its description in RNAcentral is "partial 16S ribosomal RNA". It matches the Rfam family "Bacterial small subunit ribosomal RNA", at positions 509 to 807 of the family's 1533-position model. The record is from RNAcentral.
CAGUCGCCGCGGGAAUACGAAGGGGGCUAGCGUUGUUCGGAUUUACUGGGCGUAAAGGGUGCGUAGGCGGACUGAUAAGUCAGGGGUGAAAUCCCAAGGCUCAACCUUGGAACUGCCUUUGAUACUGUUAGUCUUGAGUUCGAGAGAGGUGAGUGGAACUGCGAGUGUAGAGGUGAAAUUCGUAGAUAUUCGCAAGAACACCAGUGGCGAAGGCGGCUCACUGGCUCGAAACUGACGCUGAGGCACGAAAGCGUGGGGAGCAAACAGGAUUAGAUACCCCAGUAGUCCCUGUCUCUUAUAC